CGGAGGGUGCAAGCGUUAUCCGGAUUCGACUGGGUUUAAAGGGUGCGUAGGUGGGCUAGUAAGUCCGUGGUGAAAUCUCUGAGCUUAACUCGGAAACUGCCGUGGAUACUAUUAGUCUUGAAUCUCGUGGAGGUAAGCGGAAUAUGUCAUGUAGCGGUGAAAUGCUUAGAUAUGACAUAGAACACCGAUAGCGAAGGCAGCUUGCUACACGAGUAUUGACACUGAGGCACGAAAGCGUGGGGAUCAAACAGGAUUAGAUACCCUGGUAGUCCACGCCCUAAACGAUGGAUACUCGACAUACGCGAUACACAGUGUGUGUCUGAGCGAAAGCAUUAAGUAUCCCACCUGGGAAGUACGACCGCAAGGUUG
This 369-nucleotide ribosomal RNA is filed under the name uncultured organism. Its description in RNAcentral is "bacterial SSU rRNA". It matches the Rfam family "Bacterial small subunit ribosomal RNA", at positions 526 to 896 of the family's 1533-position model. The record is from RNAcentral.